This 240-nucleotide unclassified non-coding RNA is filed under the name Melitaea cinxia (Glanville fritillary). RNAcentral's name for it is "misc RNA ENSMCXG00005012381.1". The record is from RNAcentral. Lineage: Eukaryota; Metazoa; Arthropoda; Insecta; Lepidoptera; Nymphalidae.
AAAACUCCGAAACUAUAACACUUACAAACUUGAAAUUUGGCAAAUAGGUUUUGUAUAGGACGUAAAAGAUAAAACGGGGGUCGGAAGUUUGUAUGAAAGGCCUAUGUUUUUAAAGUAAGAGAUGAAAUUUAAAAUGUAUGCUCUAUAGAUGGUGAAAAGGAGUCCAAAUAAUGUAUCGUAAUCUAUAUAUAUAUAUAAAAGAGAAGGAUCACUGACUCACUCAUCACGAGAACUCAAAAA